This 400-nucleotide ribosomal RNA is filed under the name uncultured bacterium. RNAcentral's name for it is "bacterial SSU rRNA". It matches the Rfam family "Bacterial small subunit ribosomal RNA", at positions 29 to 416 of the family's 1533-position model. The record is from RNAcentral.
AGCGAACGUUAGCGGCGCGCCUAACACAUGCAAGUCGCACGAGAAAGGGAGCAAUCCCCGGUACAGUGGCGCACGGGUGAGUAACACGUAGAUGACCUUCCCUGGAGUGGUGGAUAACCUGCCGAAAGGCGGGCUAAUACAGCAUGGGACCACAUGGUUUUGACCGAGUGGUGAAAGCGGGCCUCUGUUCACAAGCUCGCGCUCUGGGAUGGGUCUGCGUCCCAUCAGCUAGUUGGUGAGGUAAUGGCUCACCAAGGCAUCGACGGGUAGCUGGUCUGAGAGGAUGACCAGCCACACUGGAACUGAGACACGGUCCAGACUCCUACGGGAGGCAGCAGUGGGGAAUCUUGCGCAAUGGGCGAAAGCCUGACGCAGCGACGCCGCGUGGGUGAUGGAGGCC